Molecule: long non-coding RNA, 8914 nt
Organism: Amphiprion ocellaris (clown anemonefish)
Lineage: Eukaryota; Metazoa; Chordata; Actinopteri; Pomacentridae
Source: Ensembl
ACCAAAUAAAUGCAGCUCAACAGUCAUUGGGGGGUUAGAACAACCCAUUUGGUUUAAUGAGGCCUUAUUGAGCCCUGAUAGGCUUGCUGGGGAUAAAACCUGGAGCUUGGGAGAGGAGAGCGACAUUUUGGAGCAAGAUGGCAAGAGGGACGGCGGCCACAUACCUGCAUGGAGUCCUUCUCCUGGCUCUGCUGAAACCUUCACUGCAAGGAGGUGUAUACAUACCAGCUGGUGGUGCUGCAGGAGGAGCUGGAACUGGUAUCGGAGCUGGUGCAGGACCUGGAACUGGAUUUGGACCAGGUGGGACUGGAACAGGUUUUGGCCCUGGAGGAGCUGGGACUGGAUUUCAGCCUGGUGGAGGAGUUGGACCAGGAGGUGCUGGCGGAGGUUUAGGAGGAUUUGGACCAGGAGCUGGUGGAGGUGGCUACGGUGGUCAAGGACCAGGAGGUGUCGGACCAGGAGGUGUCAGACCAGGAGGAGUCGGACCUGGAGGAGUCGUACCAGGAGGUGUCGGACCAGGAGGUGUCGGACCAGGAGGUGUUGGACCAGGUGGUGUCGGACCUGGAGGAGUCGUACCUGGAGGUGUCGGACCAGGAGGAGUUGGACCUGGAGGGUUCAGGCCCAGCACCUUUGGUCCAGGCAGUGGUGGACUUGGAGUUGUACCUGGAGGAGUUGGGGCUGGUGUAAAGCCGCCAAAAACAGGGGGUGGCUACGGCACUCGUGGGGCAGGACUGGGAGCUGGAGGUGUAGGAGGAGGACUGGGACCGGGCGGAGUAGGGUCAGGUGGUUUUGGACCAGGUGGUGUUGGACCUGGAGGCUAUGGAACCAGACCUGGAGGAGUUGGUCCCAGUGGUUUUGGACCAGGACACACUGGUCCUGGUGGUCAAGGGACAGGAUAUGGAGGCCUUGGAGCAGGGGGAGUGGGUGGAGGGACCCUUGGAGCAGGAGGCACUGGGACUGGUGGAGGUCUGGGAGCUGGAACAGGCGUCACCCCUGGGGGUGGAUAUGGAGGUGGUUAUGGACCAGGUGGUGUGAUUCAAUACCCAGGAACUGGUCCCAAACCUCCCAAAACAGGCGGUGUUGAAACAUCACUUGGAGGAACAGGUUAUGGGCCAGGUGGAGCAGGGUUUGGGCCUGGUGGAGCAGGGUUUGGGCCUGGUGGAGCAGGAUUUGGUCCAGGUGGUGCAGGAGUUGGGCCUGGUGGAGCAGGAUUUGGGCCUGGUGGAGCAGGAUUUGGGCCUGGUGGUGCAGGAGUUGGGCCAGGUGGAGCAGGAUUUGGGCCUGGUGGUGCAGGAGUUGGGCCAGGUGGAGCAGGAUUUGGGCCUGGUGGUGCAGGAGUUGGGCCAGGUGGAGCAGGAUUUGGGCCUGGUGGUGCAGGAGUUGGGCCAGGUGGAGCAGGAUUUGGGCCUGGUGGUGCAGGAGUUGGGCCAGGUGGAGCAGGAUUUGGGCCAGGUGGAGCAGGAGUGGGGCCUGGAGGUGCAGGAUUUGGGCCUGGUGGUGCAGGAUUUGGGCCUGGUGGUGCAGGAGUUGGGCCUGGUGGUGCAGGAGUUGGGCCAGGUGGAGUGAGUCCAGGUGGAGCUGCUGUGCCUGGUGGAGCUCCGCUGCUCCCACAGACUGGUACUACAGGGGGAGGACCAGGAGGAAAGAGUGGUGGAAAAGCAUCAAAACAAGUUCCAGGUAUUGGAGUGCCUGGACUCUAUCAAGGUGGAUUUGUACCAGGACAAGGUUUUGGAGGCCGUGGUGUUCUCCCUGGAGUGGCCACAGGAUCUGGACUUGGUCCUCAGACUGGGACCGGCGUACUCGGUCAGGGGGGUGUUGGAACAGGAGGAGCAGGCAAUGGCCGUGGACAGCAGCUGCCUGGGGUUUUUCGUGGAUACCCUCUCAUAUCACCAAAAUCAGGUGCAGGAAAAUCAAAGAAUCCAGCCAAAAUUGCAGCUAAAUAUGGUGGAGCUGGCAGACUUGGUCAGGGAGGAACUUUGGGUGGUGGGGCUGGAAGAGAAGGUGUAGGGGGUACCCCUGGAUUUGGAGGCGGAGUUGGAACAGGCGGUGGACCAGGAGCUGUACCUGGAUUUGGAGGCGGAGUUGGAACAGGCGGCGGGCCGGGAUUAGUACCUGGAUUUGGAGGCGGAGUUGGAACAGGCGGCGGGCCGGGAUCAGUACCUGGAUUUGGAGGCGGAGCAGGAACAGGAGGCGGGCCUGGUUUAGGUUAUGGACCUGGCUCAGCCAAAGCACGCAAAUAUGGCAGUGGAGGCACUGGAGUAGCUGGAGGCCUUGGAGCUGGUGUUGGUCUUGGCACAGCAGGAGGACCUGGUGGUUUUGGUCCAGGUGGUGCUGGCACUGGCGCAGCUGGAGGCCUGGGAGGCGGAAGACAGGGAGGAGGAGUUGGCCCUGGCACGGGUGUGGGACCUGGCUCUGGGGUUGGUUUUGGUCCAGGUGGUGCGGGCACUGGGCCAGGCGGUCUUGGCUACGGUCCUGGUGGUGCUGGCACUGGGCCAGGCGGUCUUGGCUAUGGUCCUGGUGGUGCUGGCCUUGGAACAGGAGGCACAGGAACAGGGCCCGGAGGAUAUGAUGCCAGUGCCAAAGCCCGUAAAUAUGGCAUGUUAAGUGGAGCACUUGGAGGUCCAGGAAUAGGUACUGGAGGAGUCAGGCCUGGUGGUGCUGGAACUGGCUAUGGACCAGGUGGAGUUGGACCAAGUGGAGUUGGACCAGGCGGAGUAGGACCAGGUGGAGUUGGACCCGGUGGUGCUGGAACUGGAUUUGGACCAGGUGGAGUUGGACCUGGUGGUGCUGGAACUGGCUAUGGACCAGGUGGAGUUGGACCCGGUGGUGCUGGCACUGGCUAUGGACCAGGUGGAGUUGGACCCGGUGGUGCUGGAACUGGCUAUGGACCAGGUGGAGUUGGACCCGGUGGUGCUGGAACUGGCUAUGGACCAGGUGGAGUUGGACCCGGUGGUGCUGGAACUGGCUAUGGACCAGGUGGAGUUGGACCUGGUGGUACUGGCACUGGCUAUGGACCUGGAGGUUAUGCUGGUGCCAAAGCCCGUAAAUAUGGUCUUCCUGGAGGUGCUGGAGGUGCCCUGGGUGCAGGAGGACUUGGGGGUGGGGUUGGGCCUGGUACUGGGCUCGGAGUAGGAGGAGGGUUUCCUGGACGAGGUGUUGGAGUAACAACUGGUGGUGGACCUGGAGCAGGAGUAGGGGUGGCUGGGACACCUGGUUCUGGUAUUGGAACAGGAGGUGGACCAGGUGGCUUUGGACCAGGCGGUGCUGGAGGGCUACCUGGUGGUGGCGGAGCCCCUGGAUCUGGUCUAGAUGGAAGAUUUGGUGGCCCAGCAGCAGGUGGUUAUGGUCCAGGGACUGGAGGAGCACUAGGGACUGGAAGAGGAUAUGGACCUGGUGGAUAUGGGCCUGUGGCUGGGACUGGUUAUGGACCAGGUGGAGGUUAUGGUUUAGGACCAGGUGCUGGAUAUGGAACAGGUUAUGGAGCUGGAUCAAAACUUGCUAAAUAUGGUCCCGGUGGAGCAGGUGCUGGUGGGGUACUUGGAGGUGGACUAGGACGAGGAGGUGGCUAUGGAACAGGAGGCUAUGGAACUGGCAGUGGAGGCUAUGGUACAGCUGGAUCUAAAGCUGCUAAAUACGGGCAACCUGGUGGAGUUGUUCCCGGGACAGGAGCAGGGACUGGUGUUGGAGUGAAUGGCACCAGCACUUUAACUGGUGCACGGGCAACAGCUAGACCAAGUGGUGAUGGUGGUGCUGGCAGUGUGAUAGAGGGGUCUGGGAGUCCUGGAGGAGAAGGAGUUACUGGUGUAGCUGGCAGACCAGUAGGUGCAGGAGGUGAUAGAGAUGUCCUGGGUGGAACAGGGAUCCCCAUCAUUGGAGCAAAACCAGGACUCAAUGGGACCACAGUCCCAGGUUCCACAGGAGCUUCCCCUGUUGGUGGUGGGGCUGUACAACCAAGUGCUGGGACCGGAGUUGGUGGUACAAGAGUUCCCCCUGGAGGCUCUGGUGGUGAUGUCUCAAAUGGAGCAUUGCCUGGCGCCAAACCUCUCAAACCCCCAGGUGUCCCUCGAGGUGACACACCAGGUGAAGGAGAUGGAGAAGAUGGCCCCGAUGGAGAGAGAGGUGGUACAGGAGGCACAGGUGGAGGGCCAGGAGGAGUAGGAGGGGGACCUACCAGAGCAGGACCAGCAGGAGGUGUUUCUGGUGGUGCAACAGCAGUAGGAAGAGGAGACGGUCCUGCUACUGGAACUGGACUUGGAUCAGGAGGUGCAGCUGGUGGAGUAGGAGGAACACCAAAACCACCCAAAGAUGGGACUGUCGCAGGAGGUGUAAGCGCAGGACCUGGUGGAGCUGGUGGACUUGCAGGAGGAGUUGGGUCAGCUGGACGAGGUCCUGGAGGAGCAGGCCUGGUACCUGGGGCUGGUGGAGUAGGAACAGGAUUCGCAAAACCUGGAAAAAGCUAUGGUGCUUUUGGAGCUGGAGUUUCACCAGGCGGAGGCAUACGUUACCCAACAGGAGCUGGAGUAGGACAAGGAACAGGAAAACCAGGCAAAGCAUAUGGAACUCUCGGAGUAGGAGGACAGGGUGGGUUUGGACCUGGCGGAUAUGGAGCUGGUCCUGGUGGCUUUGGUACUGGUCCGGGAGGUUACGGAGUGGGACCCGGAGGUUACGGGGCUGGCCCAGGUGGUUAUGGAGCUGGACCUGGAGGCUAUGGAGGCACAACUGGAAGCAGAGGCAUCGGUGGUGGUCCUGGGGGUGUUGGGACUCUUGGAGUUGGAACUGGUCCAGGAGGUGUAGGUCCUGGCGGAGUUGGUGGCGGACUGGGUGGAUACGGUGGUGGUGUGGGGCCUGAUGGUUCUAGAUAUGGUACAGGUCCAGGACGGGGCACUGGGACUGGUGCUGGCAAACCACCAAAAAGUUAUGGAGCAGGAGCUGGUGGUACUGGUGUUGGACCUGGUGGCUAUGGCACUGGACCAGGUGGAGCUGGUUCUGGUCCAGGAGGUUUUGGACCAGGUGGCUUUGUGCCAGGCGGCCCUGGUGCUGGUACUUAUGGACCAGGUGGCACUGGUUCAGGUGGAUAUGGGGCCGGCACUGGAACUAGACCUGGUGGCUUUGGACCAGGUGGUGCCGGAACAGGAGGCUUCGGACCAGGUGGGGCUGGAACAGGAGGCUUCGGACCAGGUGGGGCUGGAACAGGAGGCUUCGGACCAGGUGGGGCUGGAACAGGAGGCUUUGGACCAGGUGGUGCCGGGGCUCAAGGACUGGGGACAAGAAAACCACCCAAAUCAGGUUAUGGAUCAUCCUCACUGGGUGGAGCUGGCUUUGGACCAGGUGCAGGAGUUGGACCUGGUGGAACAGGUACCGGACCUGGCAGAUAUGGGCCGGGUGGCUUCGGACCAGGUGGUACUGGCGUUGGAACGGGAGGCUUUGGACCAGGUGGUACUGGCGUAGGAACAGGAGGCUUUGGACCAGGGGGUGCUGGCACAGGAACAGGUGGCUUUGGACCAGGUGGUGCUGGAGUAGGAGGGUUUGGACCUGGUGGUGCUGGAACAGGAACAGGAUUUGGACCAGGAAGUCAAGGAUCAGGAAAAAGAAAACCGUCUAAAUCCGGUUAUGGAACUGGUUAUGGUUCAGGAAGCUUAGGAGGAGUUGCAGGAACUGGCACUGGUGGAGCUGGAGCUAGAACUGGCGGCUUUGGUCCAGGAGGAGCUGGAACAGGUGGCUUCGGUCCAGGAGGAGCUGGAACGGGUGGCUUCGGUCCAGGAACUGGCGGUUUCGGUCCAGGAGGAGCUGGGACUGGCGGUUUCGGUCCAGGAGGAGCUGGGCGUGGUGGCUUCGGUCCAGGAGGAGCUGGAACGGGUGGCUUCGGUCCAGGAGGAGCUGGAACGGGUGGCUUCGGUCCAGAAACUGGCGGUUUCGGUCCAGGAGGAGCUGGGACUGGCGGUUUCGGUCCAGGAGGAGCUGGGACUGGUGGCUUCGGUCCAGGAGGAGCUGGGACUGGCGGUUUCGGUCCAGGAGGAGCUGGGACUGGCGGUUUCGGUCCAGGAGGUGCUGGAACUGGCAGUUUCGGUCCAGGAGGUGCUGGUGGAUAUGGACCUGGUGGCCAAACAAGAAAGCCUCCUAAAUCAGGUUAUGGCUCAUCGUUAGGUGGCACUGGCUAUGGACCAGGUGGUGUAGCAGGAGGCCUUCCUAGUACUGGAACAGUAGGAAUCAGUGGAGGCGGUCCAGGUGGUGUAGGAGGGCAGGCAGGAGGCCCUGGAGGACCAGGCCAGGGAGUAGGAGGAGGACCAGGUGGCUUACCAGGGGGUGCUGGCCCUGGUUUUGGAGGGGUGGCUGGUGGAGGCUAUCCAGGAUUUGCAGGGGCUGGGCAAAAAUCCAAGGCACAGAAGGCAGCCAAAUAUGCAGCCCUGCAGGCCCUACUUGGAUCUGGGGGCUACAGAGGUGCUGGCUGUCAGGGUAAAUUCUGUGGCCGAAGGAGGAAGUGAGCCACCAACAGACAUGAAGUGACCUCAUCAAUACAACAGUGGUGCUAUUGCAUGAUCCCAAACUGUAAAUGUCUUAUCUGCCAUGGAAGCUAAAGCUUCAACACAUUCCAAGUGUUACAUUUUUAUUUGCUUAGAUGUUGUACAAGGCUUACUGAGUAAGAAAAAUGGUUCUCAACCUGUUAGAAUCCUGAUUCCUGAAAGCAAGAUGCUGCAGACUGCUAUGCAGAUUGGAGGAUUUGUCACUGUCACAUUGAUUUUUUGGGGGGAUAAUUUGCAAAUUUGGCUUUGGUCAGAUAUAAAGUAUUCACAGUUUCUCAAGAAAAAACACAAAUUAGAGUCUGAAUUUCAAGAAUUAAGUUUCAAGAGUGACAAUAGGCUUGUUUAAGAUGGGACAAACUUGCGCUGAAUUGAUCAACACAGAUUGCUGCAUAAUGGAUGCUAGUUAUAUUUCCAUAUUGAUUCCAACUUGUUUUGAUGUCAGAAUGACACAGGCAAUAACAGCAUCAUGAGAUCAUGACAGAAAACAUCUGGCUUUCACCUGCUCCAUUAGCUGAUUGGUUCUAAUGUCGAGUCUACAAUAUGAAAUUUGAUAAUGAUAAGUUACAAGAGCGUUCAUGUAAAAAUGGAGGCUGAACCAAGAACAGAGGUUACAGAUGCCCUGUCAUAAUUAAAACUAUUUAAUGAAUCAACUAGUUUCUGUAACUUCCUGCUUUGACUGAAAGCUGCUGGAAACUGUCUUGACUGCUGACUUUUAACACUACCCCGUGCUGUUGCUAUCUGUUCCUGACUUCUGUUAGAACCGCAGUUGAUCUCAAAUGAGUCUAUUAUUCCAUCAGCAACACAACAACCAGCAAACUGGACACAAUGGAAUUCUUCAAGCUCUAGUUCUAAUUUGUUAACAUUUCUUAUAGUCCUAAUAUUCCCCAAUGAAUCACUUUGUAAGUCUCUGGGGAUCUUGACUACCAGGCUGAGAACCACUAAAAUGAAGGAUCUGUAUUUCUUUUUAUCAGUGAGGCCAACCUGCUCUAUACUACAGUUAUUGUUUUCUAUUGCUGCGUUGAAUAUCAUUUGUGUUCCAAUGCAAGUAUCACCAUGAAACCUCUGGGUUGAGACUGAUACCAAGGACUCCCUCAGGGCAGCUCCUUCAGACCUGUCUGCAUGCUGACACAAGGUUUAUGAAAAACGUCUCCAAGGCAACAUUUUUGUCCAGUUAGACUGGGUCGUUCUUUUGUCUACAGAUUUUAAAAUGUGCUAAUUCACUGUUUUUAGCUUGUACAUCAGUAGACGCUCUUGUGUAAUCUAUCAGCAAUGUGUAAUGACCAAGAAACAGAUGGCUGCUGUUCUGUGGAAUGAUGAACAAAAGAGACACUCAGUGGAGUCUUCUGUGGUUUGGUGUUUUGACUGGUCAUUAUCUCAUCCUUAAAAAGCAGCCUCUGUUCAUGUCAACUGUACUCAGGCCUCAGUAGUAUCAACCGUGGAGGCCUAAAAGUAUUUUGCUAACACUGGUGAGAUUCUUCCACUCUGUUCACAACAUUAAAGACACUGUUUUAUAGCUACGUAACACUAAGUGGUAAUAGUGUAAAGUUUUGGUUAACCUCCAUUUUGCUUUCAUUGUUAGAAGGAGAUAUUUGUUAUGAUAUAAUGAUGUGGCUUAGUUUUAGCUUUUACAUUUGCUGUUGAGGAAAGCAUUCAAGCUAAAUGUGAGGUAAUAUGACAAGAAUACAUGAGGAGUACUGAUUACUGUUUUUUUUUUUCUUUUGAUGUACCUCCUUUAACACUGUUGAAAAUUUGUUCACGUUUACCAGACUUUUUAAAUUAUGCUGGAUAAUAGGGAUCUAUUUAGUCUUAUUUUACAAAUUCAAGAGCAUUAAUACAGUAUUAAAUAUUUCAGCUAGUUAUUUUGUGUGUGAGUGUUUCAACAGUUAUUAAACGUGUGUACUACUAUGAUGAUAGAAGUGCUUUGUUUUCUACAUUGUCCUUGAAUGUGUGUUGAAUCACAAUGUAGUCUGUGAGGUCAUUAGGAUAAAAAAGUAUAACUGAAUCUUAUCUUGCAUUUGAGCUUAUGUUUGUGUUUAUCAUGCGGCUCAACAUGUGUUUUUAAUGUAUUUUUUAUGUGGCCUAUGAAGAAAAUAAUGCACUUUUGUACACUUUCUGACUAUGCUCUCUGAAGUAAAGAGAUGACCAAUGACAGUUGUUUCUGGGUAUUGUUAUUUUAGAGCUGGUAGACUUAUUUACAAUGUUACACAUCAAAUAUGAAACUGUAAACGCAGUAUUUGGCACAAGGCGAGAGGCUGAAGCUGCACAUUGAGAGGACGAUGUUGGUCUUAACAUGCUUGUCUGCGGUGGCUUCAAAAUAACCACAAGUUAGGCUGUAAAGAGAAAAAGGAAACAACAAACUGCUGCUUGUGCAGUGUUACAAAGUUAAAACAGCA